RNA transcript from Sapajus apella (tufted capuchin), 2131 nucleotides. It is a transcript of the gene named calcium/calmodulin-dependent protein kinase type II subunit delta-like, with no coding region annotated. The record is from RefSeq and is a predicted model, not a curated record. The transcript has 4 exons. NCBI's taxonomy places the organism in Eukaryota, Metazoa, Chordata, Mammalia, Primates, Cebidae.
AUGUAUGCGCUGCCAAACGCGGAGCAGUCAUGCCUAGCGAUUGUGGUUGUAAAGUCGAAUGGUCUUACUGGAGGUGAACUGUUUGAAGACAUAGCGGAAAGAAAAUACUACAGUGAAGCUGAUGCACUCACUUUCACAGGGACCUGAAAUCAUUGUAUUCAGCAGAUCCUGGAGGCUGUGCUACACUGCCAUCAGAUUGGCAUGGUCCAUCAGGACCUGAAGCCUGAGAAUUUGCUCUUAGCUAGCAAAUCCAAGGGAGCAGCUAUGAAAUUGGCAGACUUUGGCUUAGCCACAGAAGUUCAAGGUGACCAGCAGCCGUGGUUUGGUUUUGCUGGCACAUCUGGCUAUCUUUCUCCAGAAGUUUUACAUAAAGACCCUUCUGUAAAACCAGUGGAUAUGUGGGCAUGUGGUGUCAUUCUCUAUAUUCUACUGGUGGAGUGUCCACCCUUCCGGGAUGAAAAUCAACACAGACCCCAUCAGCAGAUCAAGGCUGGAGCUUAUGCUUUUCCAUCACUGGAAUGGAAUAUGGUGAUUCCUAAAGCGAAAGACCUCAUCAAUAAAAUGCUUACUAUCAACCCUGCCAAACGUAUCACAGCCUCAGAGGCACUCAAACACCCAUGGAUCUGUCAGCAUUCUACUGUUGCUUCCAUGAUGCACACACAGGAGUCUAUAGGCUGCUUUAAGAAAUUUAACGCCAGAAGAAAACUAAAGGGUCCCAUCUUGGCAACUAUGGUGGCUACAAGGAAUUUCUCAGCAGCCAAGAGUUUGUUGAAGAAACCAAAUGGAGUAAAGGAGUCAACUGAGAGUUCAAAGACAACAAUUGAGGAUGAAGAUGUGAAAGCACGAAAGCAAGAGAUUACCAAAGUCACUGAACAACUGAUCGAAGCUAUCAACAACGGAGACUUUGAAGCCUACAGAAAAGACUGUGACCCAUGCCUUACCCGCUUUUGAACCUGAAGCUUUGGGUAAGUUAGUGGAAGGGAUGGAUUUUCACCAGUUCUACUUUGAAAAUGCUUUACCCCAAAGCAAUAAACCAAUCCACACUAUUAUUCUAAACCCUCAUGUACAUCUGGUAAGGGAUGAUGCUGCCCGCACAGCACUGCACACACAGUACAUGGAUGGCAGUGGAUUGCCAAAGACAAUGUAGUCAGAAGAGACUUGGGUGUGGCACCGCCGGGAUGCAAAGUGGCAGAAUGUUCACUUUCAUCGCUCGGGGUCACCAACAGUACCCACCAACUAAAUAUCAACAGUGCCACUUCUGCGUUCUCUGUUCUCAAGGCACCUGGAUGGCGACCCUGGGCUGUCCUCUCCUCCUCUCUUCAUGCAUGUUUCUGAGUGCAUGAAGUUGUGAAGGUCCUACAUGUAAUGCAUAUGUGAUGCAUCAUCUUAUCAUAUAUUCCUUCCUAUACAUUGUUUACACUGCAACUAUGGGGAUGUUCCAUGCAAAUUUAAAUUACUGUUGGCAAAACAAUAGGGAGAGAUUAGACAAAAACAAUUUUUUCACAAUAUUCCAAGUAUGACUCUUCAUCAAGUUUCUCUGCUAAUGCCAAGAUUUAACAGACUUAAGAACCAUUGUUCUCUGAAUGACAGUUUGUAAGAGAAAUGUAAAUUUUUUAGAACUCUUUGCUGUUAAUCUGUUUUGGCUUAUUCGUUUUUGUUUUUGAUUUUUUUAAGAAAAACGUAAAAAAAUAUACCUUCAGUUUUCUGGUGUGAUCCUGGUUAAAAUGAAUGAUUUUUCAUUGAAAGUUUUGCUGUUUAACAAUUAAAGUGGGUUGAUAUGUGGGCAAAAUCACUUAUGAAAAUAGAAGCAAGAAUCGGUUGGUUUGCUACCACAUAAAGCCAUGCUGGUUUUGGUCAAACCGUGUAAACUGGAAAAAUGCACAUCAUUUCUGAGUUUAAUCACUUUAGGAUACAUUCACAUUUUUUUGGUGAAUUUUUUUUCUUAAAUCUGUGAACUCUUUUCUUUAUCCUGUGUCUUUGUUCCUUUUGUUUGCUGCCUUUUUUAUUUUUCUUUUGUUCGAUUUUUUUCUUACUUUUUUUCCUUUUUCCUUUUUUGGGGAGGCUGGGCUAGUAGUGUGUGAGAAGAGAAUGAAAGGGAAAUUUGCAUAAUGAAGGUAAAAGGGAAAAAAAG